GCGAAGAACCUUACCAAGGCUUGACAUGUUCUCGAUCGCCGUAGAGAUACGGUUUCCCCUUUGGGGCGGGUUCACAGGUGGUGCAUGGUUGUCGUCAGCUCGUGUCGUGAGAUGUUGGGUUAAGUCCCGCAACGAGCGCAACCCUCGUUCCAUGUUGCCAGCACGUAAUGGUGGGGACUCAUGGGAGACUGCCGGGGUCAACUCGGAGGAAGGUGAGGACGACGUCAAAUCAUCAUGCCCCUUAUGUCUUGGGCUUCACGCAUGCUACAAUGGCCGGUACAAUGGGKUGCGAUACUGUGAGGUGGAGCUAAUCCCAAAAAGCCGKUCUCAGUUCGGAUUGGGGUCUGCAACUCGACCCCAUGAAGUCGGAGUCGCUAGUAAUC
RNAcentral lists this ribosomal RNA (383 nucleotides) under Micrococcus sp. RNAcentral's name for it is "bacterial SSU rRNA". It matches the Rfam family "Bacterial small subunit ribosomal RNA", at positions 961 to 1343 of the family's 1533-position model. The record is from RNAcentral. Lineage: Bacteria; Bacillati; Actinomycetota; Actinomycetes; Micrococcales; Micrococcaceae.